UGUAAGUUUGCGAAAAAGUGGUCAAGUUACAAAGGGCUGAUGGUGGAUACCUAGGCACACAGAG
This 64-nucleotide ribosomal RNA is filed under the name Pegethrix olivacea GSE-PSE-MK46-15A. RNAcentral's name for it is "partial 23S ribosomal RNA". Lineage: Bacteria; Bacillati; Cyanobacteriota; Cyanophyceae; Oculatellales; Oculatellaceae. The record is from RNAcentral.